ACUUAUUAGGCGUUUGGCCAUGAAAACCAAAUAUUUUUCACUUUAUUUGGUAUUUUGGAGUUGGAGUUGGAGUUUAAGAUGGAGUUGUGUUUGGUUAUAGUUUUUGCAAAGAAUAUUUGGUUGUUUGAAUGUAUUAAAAAUGAAAAAAAUGGGAAAAAAACGUGAAAAACAAGUUUUGGUUGUUUUUCAAAUUCCAAAUACAACUUCAAGUUGUAUUUAGAAUUUUUAUGGCCAAACACCAUAAAGUGAAAAAAUAUUCCGGAAUAAAGUGAAUAAUUCUCAUGGACAAACGGGCCUUAGAAUGUCACUUAUGGAACUUGUUUUCCCUACUUCCAUUUUGGGAAUUAUUUUCCUACAGAAAAACAUUUUCCAUAAAAUGUUUUCGUCCAUACCAAACACACCCUUAGAGGUGAUAGUUUUUAUUUUGGUUGCAUAGGUGAUUUAUGUCACCAGUGUCUAGUAUAUGUUAAGCAGAUGAUUUGGUCCUUUUCUCCAGUUUAUUCCUGAUUACACUUGAAGAGUGCAAUGUAGUGAACUGGUUAUGUUUUAGCUUGUUAGAGAUUACUCCUCGUAUGCACCAGAAUUAACCAGUGUUUUUAAUUUUGAGUUUAUGGGUUUUGAAUUCUAAAAAAAAGGCAACUUAUUGGGUUCUGGAUAAAUUGUUGAUACAUAUUAAGUGAAUUUCUUAAAACAAAUACAAGUUCUUGACCAAAGCUAUUGGAUUUUGUUGAACCCCUAGCUUUCUCUCUAGCUCCGCCCCUGCAAGUAACAUGGUACAAAGUUUAACUCAUUGUGGAAGAAUGAGAAGGAUGUUUACUCAGAUAUGCAUUCAUUUGCUUCUUUGCUAGCUAUUACUGUCUUUGCAAUCUGCAUGUUGUUUCCCUAUUUGAAACUCCUUAUGAUUCUUGUUUCUUUCAAAUCCUUCUUUUAUUCCUCAAGAUUAACCCUUUUCUGCUUCAGGUGGACUCUCUUGGAUGUAAAUUUCAUAUUCUUGAAGUCCGUGCUUCUUCAAAUUAGGGGGAUUCUUCAUAGCUGCAUUCAGUCGUUUGGCUUUUCCUCGGAUAAUAAAGAGGGAGAGAUAAUAGGACUUCCUAAACCAUGUCCAUAUUCUCCAAUGUACAAGAAACAGAAUUAAGUUGUACAAAAGAAGUUUUCUUGUCUGCCAUCCGCUUUGCCACUUCCACCGCUGAUUCUUUCCCUCAAUUCGAGGAUGAUCUAAGAACCUCAGCCCAGGAACAAGUCGAGUUCAUGCUCGAGGAUGAUGAAAAUAUUCCCCUGGUCAUGGGUGAUGAUGAAAUAAAAGUGGAGACUAGAAUUUUGGUGUCUAAAAUCUUUAGUUCUUUUGAAAAUGAAUUAUUCUCCUUGAUAUUGGAGCCCGAUUUUGCAAAUGAAGAGAUGGAAAAGAAAAUAAUGCGGAGUCUAUCUGACCUUGAAUGGAUCCAUAACACUCUUUUGAAGAUGGAUCUCGUGAAGGAUUUUGUCUCCAACUGGGUUAAUAUAUCGAGCAAUUUACUGAAGGUCAUCGAAGAUAAAAGACUUGAUUCUAUCAUGUGGGGUUUGAAGAUAAAGUUAAUAGAAGUGACAUCAAAAGUAUUGGAAGCGGUAGGUUAUGGAACCGUAGUUCUUCCAGCAGAAAGUCGAGUAGAAUUGCUCAAGAAAUGGAUACCCUACAUAAGAAAAAUGAAGUCCCUUUCCGAUAAAACGGAGCCCGCAUUUCCAUACAAGAUGAGCGAAGACCUUUGCCAAGGCGUCGAGGGAGCAAUAGUUUCAUUGGUUUCAGCAUUACCAUCAAAUGAUCAAGCUGAAAUUCUAUCAGAUUGGAUAAGUGCUGAGCAGGUUAAAUAUCCAGACCUUAGUGAAGCUUUUGAGAUAUGGUGUUAUAGAACCAAGUCCGCGAAAAGAAGAUUGGACGAGGCUUUGACCGAGUCAGCAAUGCCAUUGUCACCCUUAAUUUCCGAAGAGGAAACUUCACCACUUAGUAGAGUGCCCAACAUAUUUCCUGGGUGAUAUCUAUAAUCCUUUCUAUUGUUGAUUUAGAAGCCGAUGCCGAUUUCGAGUAUAUUACUGUAUUUGCUGAUGAUGAAGAAAAACAUGGAUACAAAAGCUUGAAAUUUAACAAGUCGCUGAGGCCAAGAGCUAAAACUAAGAUUUAUAAGCUUAAAGUAGUGAUUGAAGAUGAUCUUGUUAAGACCUUUAGUCCUCGGAAACCGAAAUGUGUGACUCCAGAAAGAGCAAGAGAAGACCUCUUAAGAGAAAGGGAAAAUUUUAAGCUAACUAGUCUAUUGGUAGACACUCUAAGAUGGACGGACAAAGUAUUUAUGAAGAUCGAGAACCAUUGAGAAGAUCCUGCAAGCGAGCAUUGGAUUUUGAUACUAGGAAUGUUGAGAAUGAUGAUCCCAGUUGUUGAAGGUGUUAAUAUACUCGUUUGCAAGAUCCAAAGUGCUGAUUAUUUUCCAUGUGGCCGGACAUUUUCGGAGGAUCUAAACUCCUCAAAGAAGCUUGGUUCAUCAUCAGUGCCUUCCUGGAAUCUCCAUGCUUUCCCAUAUUUCUUCCACCGUCAAUCUAGCAGAUGUUGUUUUACUGUCAUCUCCUUUAUUUCCGAUCCAAAGUAUGCUACUAGUAUCCGUUGCAGGUGUACCAUAGAAGAUAUGAGAAGAAUCAGAGACAUAAUAAGGGCGAAAGAGUUCAUCCAUUGUUUCAGAAGGCAUAACAAGACUCUCCAAACUUGUCCCUUCUUCAACUUUUAUUGCUACAUUUUACUAUCAGCUUCUCCGUUUCUAAUCUAAAGUAUGCUAUUCUUAUCCAUUGCAGGCACACCAUCGACGAUUUAAGAAGAAUCAUAUACAAAAAGUAUAGAACAAUUCAACCACUUUUUAGGAAAAGAAAAAAGGAAGUGGAAAGCAUCAAUAUGUGCUAUGAAAGGUUUUAAGGACAUCCGGAGCAAGAAUGCCCCCCAUUCAAUUCUCAAGAAUACAAGGCUUCAAGUAGCUAGCAGUGAAAGUGGAGCCGUAGUGAAAUAUAGUGAAAAUUCAGAGUUGACAUUGGCACAAGAAAUAGGGGGAAAGUUUUGCCUGGAGAGUCUUGUUAUGCAUUCUCUGAGAGAAUGGAUCAACUCUUUCUCACUUUUUAUAUCUGAGAUUCUUCUCUUAUAUCUGCUAAUGGUAAACCUGCAAUGGAUAGCAUACUCUGGUUCAGAAAUAGAAGAGUUGAUGGUGAAACAACAUUUGCUGGACUGACAAUUGAAGAAAUGUGGGAAAAUAUUUGCCUGAAGAUUCUUGGAAGGCACUGAUGAUGAACCAUGCUUCUUUGAGGAGUUUGCGUCCGUUGAUAAUGUCCUGCAACAUGUGAAAUUAUCAGCACUUUGGGUCUCAUGUACAUGUAUAUUAACGACUUCAACAACUGGAUCAUCAUUCUCAACAUUCCUAGUAUCAAAACUCAAUGCUUGCUGCAGGAUCUUUUCAAAGGUUCUUGAUCUCCAUGAAUACUUUAUUCAUCCAUCUCAUAGCGUCUACCGAUAGACUUGCCAGCUUGUAGAAAUUCAUCUCCGCUUGGCUUAUAGAAAAUUUUCCUUUCUCCUGAGAGGUUUUAUCUUGCUCUUUCUGGAGUAGCACAUUUCGGUGUCCCAAGACUAAAGGUCUUAACAAGAUCAUCUUCAAUCACUACUUUAGGCUUAUAAAGCUUAGUUUCAGCUUUGGGGCCUCAGCGUCUCAUUAAAUUUUUUGUCGUGGCCAUGUUUUUCUUCAUCAGCUGAAACAUAAUUCAGUGAUAUUUUGUAACUUGGCAUCGGCUCGCUUAUAAAAAGGAUUAUAGAUAUCACUGAAUUGUUUCAUAAAGCAAAUAUGAAGGGGUCAUGGCUAUUGAAAAUCACAACAGCAUGGAGGUUAUUUUUGUGUGAUCUAUGUAUUUUCUAGAAUGAACCUUGUAACAUUAUCAGUUUUUAUGUGAUCUAUGGCUAAGGACUUCUCAUGCUUUCCUUUUCCAGAAUAAAGCCACUUUCAUGUUGUUAUUUGUG
RNA transcript from Lycium ferocissimum, 4012 nucleotides. It is a transcript of the gene named BTB/POZ domain-containing protein At3g05675, with no coding region annotated. NCBI's taxonomy places the organism in Eukaryota, Viridiplantae, Streptophyta, Magnoliopsida, Solanales, Solanaceae. The transcript is spliced from 3 exons. The record is from RefSeq and is a predicted model, not a curated record.